GGCUGAUAUUGCUGCUAAAUGUACCUUCAGAGACAAGUUUGCCAGUCACAAUCUUUUAAUGUAGGUACGUAUUCAAAUAUCAAAGGCAAAUUACAUGUAAUAGGGUGACAGCAUUCAUUAGGACUAAAUACAGCCGUUGAUCAGCAGUAACACCAGUGCUGAAGCAGUAGUCAGAAGAAGGCGGGGAAAAGAUGACCACUGUGUAGGCAGUGAAUAUGAAUGUUGGCAUCUAGGUGACUGAUUCUGACAACCUGAACUCUGUGUGGAUGAUGACCAAUCACUACAGGAUCAGUGCUGCAUUUCCUGGGGAGAUUUCUCCCUACUCCUUGGUGAUCUACUAGGCCCGUCAUUGUUUGGUGGACCAACAAUCCCCUCAGACAGCCUUGACUUCUUUUUGGCCAAUUUUUGUAGUAAGAGAAAGGGACGAAACUCACCCCGGGCCUGAUUAAUCGCACUCAACUGGCUUGGUCCCUGGUACAGAAACCACUAAUGUGGUCUUUGAACUCCUACUAACCUUAGCUGAAGCGUCGGCGGCCAAGGAUUGUUUGUACAGUGCUCCUUUUAGCUGAGAAGCGUGCACAUUUUGAGCCAUCAGUCAGCAGCAAACAAGCUAAAACUACCUCCUCUUCACACAGCAACAAAAAGAGAGGACCAUUCUCUUCACACAGCAACAAAAAGAGAACUGAGGGGAGCAUUCUCUCCACCCUCCCAUACCCUGUGACUCUUUAUAUGGGAAAUCUUCCUGCCUCUUGGUCGGGGAAGGGGGAGGGAGAGUUUGGAAGAGUUCUAGCAAGUUAUUUUAAGAGGAACUGGCUAAUCUUCUCUGUGGCAGGUCUGCACAUGGCCAGAUCUAUGUGGAUCUGCACAGGAGGCCAUGAAUAGGAAUCAUAGCUAUAACUAUAUAAGCAAAGUUGUAAGGUUAGCACAACAUUCCUCCAUAUUAUGUUCCUGGGAAAGGGACUUUCCAUUUCAUUAUAUUCUUGGGAAAGGGUCUUAUCUUGAACUCGAUUGGUUGCUGAACAACUGAACUGCAAUCUGCAUAAAUUCUGUACAAUCAUACUCAUCAUGUUUUCCCUUGUUAGUAAUGAUUUUAUUAAGUUUUUAAACAACUACACAACUAAAACUAUGCAUAUAAGUGUAUGGUGAUCCAGUCACCUUAACACUGAAAAACUGCUUACGCAACAAUAUCAGAAAAAACAAAAACAGAACUACUUGACUUCCUGCUCAGGACCCAUUGCAGAAUCUAUCUUUAAUAACAUGUUGUAACCUUUGGUAUCCAGAGCAGCAGUUUAACAAAAGAAAACUGUUUUGAAUUUUCUAUCCUUUUCAUAUAGAAAACAUACAUAUCCCUCAGAUUUCAACCAUGUGAACCUUAUUUGUUUCUUCUUCAGAGAAGUCACUAAAAUUUGCUUUUGCAGGGCUCUUAAAGUAAUUUUCUUCAUGAUAAUAAUGUUUUUGUCAUCCAUCUUAAAUUUGAACUUUUAGUGGGCCUCCAUAAUUUGAUCUACAGUAUCUUUUGUAUAGAUGAAGACAACAAUAUCUCUACACAAUCCCUGUGACCUUGAGUUUUGAAGUUUACUCUGUAUAUUUUUUCAAUCUUUUCAGCCAUCUCUUCUUCUUGUAUCAUCAAAAAUUUGGCCAGAACCAAGGAGAGCAUAUUUUUAAGAUUCUCUUUUAAAGGGUCUUGAAUUUCUGGAAUUUUUCUCAUUCUACGAGACUUUUCUUUCAUCUGACAUUCCAAUCAAAGAAUGACUUGUUCACGUUCCAUUUGAAGUGAAUAAAUUCUUUUUAAAAAUUUUAAUUUAUUACUUUACUGCCUUUAAAUCUCCCUCCAAUUGUCCAAUUUUCUUAAGAUUAUUCUUCACUACUUUAAUAGCUUUUAAUAAUUCAGCCAUCAUUGCUAGUAUGUUUUGAACACUACUUUUUAUUGUCUGUUUCCAACUGUAGACUUUGUACAUUUGUAUUCAUGGUUCUAAUUAUUUGAAAGCUCUUGGUAAUCCUCUUGGAAGGAUCCCUUUUUAGCAGUAGCCAUUUUGAACUGCUGGAACCACUAGAUGUCACUGUGCAACAAAUCUCCACAUUUAUAGUGGUGUAUAACUGAAGUUGUCCAUUCUGUUAUGUCCUCUUCUAUGAUUCAGCAUAACUUCCUUUCUUAGUAUUGUUUCUUUUACAGUCUUCUAAACCAAUCUCAGGCUGGCAUCUCACCAGCUCCAAAGAACAAAGGAAGUCAGCAUUUUAGUGUCACAAAACACAAAGCAGCUAUUUCUCUCUAAUACCUUUAUUUCCAGGUCUCUACUUGCUUCUUUUUGUUUAACUUUUUUUCAUUUUUAAACUUUUUAUUUACUGUGAGUCCAUACCCUUUAAAGAUGUCUUCAAGUUUUUGCUGGACUUAUCUGCAACAGAUUCUGAACUUCUCUAAUUGCUUUCUAAUUUAUUUUCAUUUCUUCAUGUAAGGUGCAAGACUUGGGAUGUUGUCUUCUGAGGGAAAAGCGAAAUCUCCAGCAGGAAAUGGUGUUGGUGCUGCUGACUCAACUUCUCUACCCCAGCAAAUCACUAUGCCCUUUUCAUGUAUUUGGUACAGAAAUAUUAACAUUAACCAACUUGAUACCAAAACCCAGAAACCAAUGGCAAUGCCUUCCUUCCUUGGAAAGCAGGAGACCUCACACUCCUUUGAAACCAAAGAUGUCAAUCAGCAAGGCAGUCCCAAGAGGAGUUCUGUGGGCAUAAGAACAUAAGAAGUGCCCAACCAAUUAUUCUGGAGGAUCAACAACACCGCACAGAAGACAAGAAUUUUCUCUGAUAUUGCCUGAUGGCACCAGUAUUCAGUGGCUGACUGCCUCUGAACGUGGAAGCUCCCCUCUAGUCACCAUCGCUAAUAGCUACUGAUAAGAUCUAUCCUCCAUAAAUCUGUUUAAUCCGUUUUUAAGAAGUCUAUGCUGGUGGCCAGCACCACAUCCUCUGGAAGCGAAUUCCACAUUUUAAUUGGAAGCCCCAAAGCACUUCUAUAUUGCAAAUCAAGUCUUCCUCACUCUAGCUGCUGUUGGCUCACCAUCUGGUUCGCUUCUUGCCAGGAUUCACUCCCAAAUUACUAUUUUUUUAUUACUAAAAUCAGAUUUUUCUACAAGCCUUAAGCUCCACAGAGAACAUGUGACAUCAUAACAGCUGGCCCUGUGGUGUGUAUUUGGCUGUUCAUAUGGGCCUGGCCCUUUACUGUCAAAUAUAGGCUUGGGUCCACUGGAGCAUUUUUGUGGGUGGAUUUCUCCCCUCCCCACCCCCAUAAUGUGACUUGUUCACUUCUCCCUUCCUCUUGCAGCCCAAACGGUCUAAUAAAUCCAAGUCACAAUGAUUAUAGAAGCAAUACAAUAAAGCAAGUGCAGAUCACAAAAGCACUUUCAGAUGCAGGUGCUUUUUUCUAAAAUCAGAACCAAACAUCUUACUAAUGUGGCUAAUCAGACAGAGUUAGCUUUUUAAAUUCUUUUUUUUAAAGUCCCACUUCAAAAAGCCAGACAUGGAUCAGUUCCAGUCUGCUUCUCUUGGUUCUACGGCAGUCCCCGCCAGCUAUUAUUUAACUGAAGAAUUCAGCUUUGAAGACAAUUUUUGGCUGUCUGUUAAGUAAUGAGAUACAGUAGGCAACAGCUGGUUUUGAGCUUAGUUGAAAAUACAAGCAUGAUGGAGGAGCAAACUGUGCGGAAAGAUCCUCCACCCUGGGGAAGCCAAUCUGACGGGCAACAUUUGACAUCAUCACAGGAAACCCAGACAGUCUGUUUCAUAUCUGACAUCAUUUUGCUGAUAUCGCAAAGCUGCCCUCCUUCAACAUGCAACUAAUCCAACUGCCUGCCACUAAACUACAUCUUUGUGAAGCAGAUAUUUGCUGUCAACCCAAACACCAGAUCAAAACCACAUCUGACAAGAAGACAAAAUGAGAUGGAAGUUGAGAGCAUGAUUUCCUACCUAUCCCACAUACCUCCAAGUUGGCCCUGAAUGUGUCCUCUAAAAGCUCAUUUCCAAACCAAUCCCUGUUCCCAUUAAAUCACUGCAUUCUUUCUAUCCCAGAACAAACUUCUGUAAAAUUAGAACAACAGUCUCUGAGCUUCAGAAGAGUUCUGUUCAUCAUCACACUACCAGGUAGUCAUAUACAACUACUUCAGAACCUUUGUUGGGCCAAGGCAGAACAUGAACACUGUUCAGCACUGGAAACACCUUUAAUUGGUUGUAUUUGGGUCCAUAUUUCUAGCUUUGAACCUCAUAUCUGUGUUCUGCAACUGCCAAGUGUGGCCAAGCUGCAGUGAAAAAACUCGGCUGUUAAUGUUCUCUCACCUGACUUUUCUAUGUGGCUCUGCACACAGAGCAUGUGCCAAAUAUGAAAGUAGACUGAUUUAAAACAUAUCCCUGCCUUGCUAUGUAAUACAGAUCUUUAUGGGUGGUGAAUUAGAUUUGCAUCCAUCUAAGCAGUGGUUGUAAGUAUCCAGAAUAAUCUCCCUUCCUCACAGACAAAAGCUAAAAAAAUCCAUUCAAUUCACCCUGUAGCCAAAAGCAAUAACAAACAGAGGAGGACUAAUUUUAUUUCCAACAGACUGGAUGUCCCAAUUAAGUUUUAUAUCAAUAAGCAGCACUGGUUGGCUCAUGUAAAUAAUCUUAAAGAUUAAAAAGCCACACAUAAGAAUUUAACAUGAUUCUUUUGACACCAACAAUCUGACCUCAAGCUCCAUUCACAGCCUAAAUUUCAGAAGAGUUGAUUCUCUUCCUUGAGUACCAUUUAAGAAACCGACAGUUAUUAACCAGCAAGAAUGAGCUCACUAACUGUCUCCCAUAAUGAAAUAACUGUUUCAGCAUUCCUAAGAUAACAUGUUGGGCUAUAUGUUGUCGUACAUAAUUGCUACUUUAGAUUAACUCCAAUACAGCAGCAUAGACCAAUGCCUACUGCAUCACAACAGCAGCAACUCAAACAGAAUGACUAUAAUGUGGUCUGACAGUGAUUUAUAGGGUUAACCAUCAUCUUAUCACUUAAUCUGUUAACUGUUGUUCCAAUCAACAUAACUGUCAGGACAAGCUUACUUUAAACAAAUCCGUGAUCACUAAUCUGUAUGUACAAUAAAUAUUUCCCUUCCCCAACACAGCUGCUCUUCAUGCAUGCCUCUACUACCAGAAACUACUUCAGCAUGCCAGAAAAAUGGUAUUUAGAAUUUUUUAAAUGAUUAUAACAAUCCUAAGAAUCGAAAAGUUUCCAUGGUAUAAUUUUGAAAAGGGAGAAGCUAGCCAGAAUGUUCACAAAGAUGGAGAAAGAAAAAAAACACCAUUGGCUUGUAUCUUCUUUAAGAGAGAAGGGGACUGAAGAUUCUCACAAGUUACCUGGCAUCCUAAGUGCUUCCAGAAGUUGAAGGAAAUAGCUAUUGUUUUAUCUGAAAAUUAAUGUUCAUGGGAUGUACAUGCUCAAGUACAUACCUUACUAUCCAGUUUUUUCAUGGUUACCAAAUCCAAGGACUUAAGUGA
Long non-coding RNA from Sphaerodactylus townsendi, 5490 nucleotides. RefSeq lists it as uncharacterized. The record is from RefSeq and is a predicted model, not a curated record. NCBI's taxonomy places the organism in Eukaryota, Metazoa, Chordata, Lepidosauria, Squamata, Sphaerodactylidae. The transcript has 3 exons.